AGAGUUUUGAUCAUGGCUCAGAUUGAACGCUGGCGGCAUUGCGUUUACACAUGCAAGUCGAACGGCAGCGCGGGGGCAACCCUGGCGGCGAGUGGCGAACGGGUGAGUAAUGCAUCGGAACGUAUCCUGUAAUGGGGGAUAACGUAGCGAAAGUUACGCUAAUACCGCAUACGCUCGAGAGAGGAAAGUGGGGGAUCGCAAGACCUCACGUUAUAGGAGCGGCCGAUGUCCGAUUAGCUAGUUGGUGGGGUAAAGGCCUACCAAGGCGACGAUCGGUAGCUGGUCUGAGAGGAUGAUCAGCCACACUGGGACUGAGACACGGCCCAGACUCCUACGGGGAGGCAGCAGUGGGGAAUUUUUGGACAAUGGGCGAAAGCCUGAUCCAGCCAUGCCGCGUGCGGGAAGAAGGCCUUCGGGUUGUAAACCGCUUUAGUCCGGGAAAAAGGGGUGCGAGGAUAAUACCCUCGUGCUUUGAUGGUACUGGAAGAAUAAGCACCGGCUAACUACGUG
RNAcentral lists this ribosomal RNA (510 nucleotides) under uncultured bacterium. RNAcentral describes it as "bacterial SSU rRNA". It matches the Rfam family "Bacterial small subunit ribosomal RNA", at positions 8 to 507 of the family's 1533-position model. The record is from RNAcentral.